AUGAACUUUGGUCUUCUCUGCAAUCCAUCUGGAGCAUUCAGUGACAACAUCGACUUUGAAGUUGCACUGACCUGGCCAGCCCUGCCACUUACCAGGUUGGGCUGUGGCUUGCCUUUUCACUUCUUGUGUCCUGUUUAAGAAAUAUCUACUAUCCCAAGCAUCUGGCAUCUUUCUUGACACAUGUAGCAGUUGCUUUUUGACAGCUUGCUUCUUCAGUGAAUGAAUAAAUUAAUAAAGAGAAAUGUGAUGUUCAGUGAUCCAUUUUGCAGGCUCUUGAGUUUCUGCUUUCAAGUGACCCUCAGAAAUUCCCCCAUUCACUGCAGAGGUUCUGUUUCUCCUUGCUUUGUUCUGACUUUACGGCAGAACUAAGCUGAUGAGUUAGUUACUAUGGGUUAUCACUUGGAUUUGAAGAACCAUCAUUUCUAGGCAUUGCUGCUCAGAGUGGGUCUGCCCUCAGGGGAAGCUGUCUAACCAGAGCCUAACCCACUAGGGUUUUAUCAGAACCUAACUGACCUGAGGAAAAGAAAUAUUCAACUCCAGCAAGCUCCAGCCUUCCAAAUGGAGGAGAAGAAAACCCAACUCCAGCCCACUUCAGCUAUCUUGUCCCACAUAAAGGGGAAGUGGAAGAAACCUGAGAAGCAGGCAUGAAGUUCACAGUCCAGAGGUACAGACACAUCAGAGUUCAGUAUCUGAUGAAUUAGAUGCAAAAACCUCAACAAAGUAUUAGCAAAUUGAAUUCAACAAUGUAUGAAAAUUAUUACAUGCCAUGACUAAUUGGAAUUUAUCUCAGGUAUACAAGCCAUGCUGAACAUCUGAAAAUCAAUUCAUGUGAUCCAUCACAUUAGCAGACUCAAGAAAAAAAACCACAUUAUCAUAUCAGUAGAUGUAGAAAAAAAAAUUUAACAAAAUCCAGCACCCAUUCACAAUGAAAAUGCCCAGUAAAUUAGAAAUAGAAGGUAACUUCCUCAAAUUGAUAAGGAAUAUCUCUAAAAACCUACAACUAAAAUCAUACUUAAUGGUAGAAAACUAGAAGCCUUCCCAGUAAGAGUAAGAACAAGGCAAAGAUGUAUGCUCUCACCAAUGCUUUUCAACAUCAUAUAUUGGAAGUCCUAGCUAGUGCAAUAAGCAAAAAAAAAAAAAAAAAAAAAAAA
Molecule: long non-coding RNA, 1151 nt
Filed under: Pan troglodytes (chimpanzee)
Lineage: Eukaryota; Metazoa; Chordata; Mammalia; Primates; Hominidae
Description: lincRNA
Source: RNAcentral